GACGAACGCUGGCGGCGUGCUUAACACAUGCAAGUCGAACGGAAAGGCCCUGCUUUUGUGGGGUGCUCGAGUGGCGAACGGGUGAGUAACACGUGAGUAACCUGCCCUUGACUUUGGGAUAACUUCAGGAAACUGGGGCUAAUACAGGAUAGGAGCUCCUGCUGCAUGGUGGGGGUUGGAAAGUUUCGGCGGUUGGGGAUGGACUCGCGGCUUAUCAGCUUGUUGGUGGGGUAGUGGCUUACCAAGGCUUUGACGGGUAGCCGGCCUGAGAGGGUGACCGGCCACAUUGGGACUGAGAUACGGCCCAGACUCCUACGGGAGGCAGCAGUGGGGAAUAUUGCACAAUGGGCGGAAGCCUGAUGCAGCAACGCCGCGUGCGGGAUGACGGCCUUCGGGUUGUAAACCGCUUUCGCCUGUGACGAAGCGUGAGUGGCGGUAAUGGGUAAAGAAGCACCGGCUAACUACGUG
Molecule: ribosomal RNA, 468 nt
Filed under: uncultured bacterium
Lineage: Bacteria
Description: partial 16S ribosomal RNA
Rfam family: Bacterial small subunit ribosomal RNA
Source: RNAcentral